AAAACUAGCCGUUACUGACCUUGGGAAGGACAAAAAGUACAUCUGCAGAACUAGCCGUUAUGCUUCAGCCCGUGUUUGGGUCGGCUCAACCUGUCCUUGGGUCGACCCAACUUUUACUUGGGUCGACUCAAACAUUCCUUGGGUCGACCCUCUCAGAAAACACAGAACCUUGAAAUUCAGCCUUCCUUCCCUUGGGUCGACCCAACCUUUCUUUGGGUCGACUCAAACCUUGGGUCAGCUCAAAC
RNAcentral lists this long non-coding RNA (245 nucleotides) under Phoenix dactylifera (date palm). RNAcentral describes it as "long non-coding RNA (PDAC_LNC019331)". Lineage: Eukaryota; Viridiplantae; Streptophyta; Magnoliopsida; Arecales; Arecaceae. The record is from RNAcentral.